RNAcentral lists this ribosomal RNA (491 nucleotides) under uncultured bacterium. RNAcentral describes it as "bacterial SSU rRNA". It matches the Rfam family "Bacterial small subunit ribosomal RNA", at positions 36 to 518 of the family's 1533-position model. The record is from RNAcentral.
CUGGCGGCGUGCCUAACACAUGCAAGUCGAACGGGACGUAAUUAGAGUAUGUUUCGGACUGAUCUUUUAGUUAGUGGCGGACGGGUGAGUAACGCGUGGACAACCUGCCUUCACAGGGGGAUAGCAGCUGGAAACGGCUGGUAAUACCGCAUACGCUCGUGUCACCGCAUGGUGAUAUGAGGAAAGAUUUAUCGGUGAAAGAUGGAUCCGCGUCUGAUUAGCCAGUUGGCGGGGUAACGGCCCACCAAAGCGACGAUCAGUAGCCGGCCUGAGAGGGCGGACGGCCACAUUGGGACUGAGACACGGCCCAGACUCCUACGGGAGGCAGCAGUGGGGGAUAUUGCAUAAUGGGCGCAAGCCUGAUGCAGCGACGCCGCGUGAGUGAAGAAGUAUUUCGGUAUGUAAAGCUCUAUCAGCAGGGAGGAAAGGCCCGCAAGGGAGAUGACGGUACCUGACUAAGAAGCCCCGGCUAACUACGUGCCAGCCGCUGC